This 411-nucleotide long non-coding RNA is filed under the name Setaria viridis. Its description in RNAcentral is "long non-coding RNA (SVIR_LNC003998)". Lineage: Eukaryota; Viridiplantae; Streptophyta; Magnoliopsida; Poales; Poaceae. The record is from RNAcentral.
CCACAAUUUCGACGAAGUCUCAAUAUUUCUCUUUCGCUUAUGGUUGACAUCACUUACAUUCAUCACAGAAGAAUUAAUACUUAGAGGCAACAAGUAAAGCUUAUCAUGUAAAGGGGCAUGACCAAUAAUCUUAUUGUCAAAACUUAUUACACACUUGUUGUUCCCAAAGUUGCAUGAAUAACCAUCACAAUCUAACGAUGAAACAGAAAUCAAGUUUCUCUUAAGCGACGGUACAUAAAGAACAUUAUUUAAAUGAAGCUUGAAGCUAUUGUUAAGUUCUAAUGCGAGAUCCCAGCAUGAAUCCAUUUGCAACUCUAAUGGCAUGAAUCCCCUUUCUAACCCACGCGCCACUUAAUCCACCAUCUACUUUAAUGAAAAAUCAAUCCUCCAUGAAUGGUUGCACCAGAAUCA